CAUAUUAGGAAGCAUUUAAGUUCAUGGUGAUUGGUACAGGAAAAACAUGAGGUCCAUGCAGAUGGUGUUUAAAACUAUUGGCCAGCAAAUGCACACCCAUUUGAAUACAUCUUGAAAAAGAACCAGCAAAAUGUGACAGUCGGCAAAAUAUAGGUUCCCGCAGACAGACGCAUUUUGCCGGAAAACGAAUCUGACAUGCCACCUCGAGAUUUUAACCAAGGAAAGACAAGUUGAUGUGCUUUGAUUUGAGGGGUCACUCACUACCGAACGAAAAUUAGGGACAUCGCUAUGAGAAGAAACGUUAACAUUGUCGCCUAUGGGAAAACAAUUAGUGGACUGUACCCAUAUUAGGAAGCCUAUAAGUUCAUGGUGAUUGGUACAGGAAAAACAUGAGGUCCAUGCAGAUGGUGUUUAAAACUAUUGGCCAGCAAAUGCACACCCAUUUGAAUACAUCUUGAAAAAGAACCAGCAAAAUGUGACAGUCGGCAAAAUAUAGGUUCCCGCAGACAGACGCAUUUUGCCGGAAAACGAAUCUGACAUGCCACCUCGAGAUUUUAACCAAGGAAAGACAAGUUGAUGUGCUUUGAUUUGAGGGGUCACUCACUACCGAACGAAAAUUAGGGACAUCGCUAUG
Saccostrea cuccullata (small rock oyster) is the source of this 634-nucleotide long non-coding RNA. RefSeq lists it as uncharacterized. NCBI's taxonomy places the organism in Eukaryota, Metazoa, Mollusca, Bivalvia, Ostreida, Ostreidae. The record is from RefSeq and is a predicted model, not a curated record. The transcript is spliced from 5 exons.